UCAAGUGAAGAAGGGCAUACGGCGGAUGCCUAGGCGUUUCGAAACGAAGAAGGACGCGAUAAGCUGCGAUAAGCCAUGACGAGCUGCAAGUAAGCCUUGACUCAUGGAUUUCCGAAUGGGGCAACCCGGCAAGAGUAACGUCUUGUCACCUUAUCUACGAGAUAAGGAGAAAACACCCGAUGAACUGAAACAUCUAAGUAGUCGGAGGAAAAGAAAUCAAAGAGAUUCCCUGAGUAGCGGCGAGCGAAACGGGAAGAGCCCAAACCUGAGGACUUCGGUUCUUAGGGGUUGCGGACCUGCAACAAGACAUAAGCUUUAGUGGAAGCAUCUGGGAAGGUGCGGCGAAGAGAGUGAGACCCUCGUACACGAAAGAGCGAGUGUUGGGCAGGGAUCCAGAGUACCACAGGGCACGAGGAACCCGGUGGGAAGCAGGGUGGACCACCAUCCAAGGCUAAAUACAUCGAAACGACCGAUAGCGAUGAGUACCGUGAGGGAAAGGUGAAAAGAACCCCGGGAGGGGAGUGAAAUAGAACCUGAAACCGUAUGUCUACAAACAGUCGGAGCACUUUAUAUGUGCGACGGCGUGCCUAUUGAAGAAUGAACCGGCGAGUUAAUUUAUGCUGCGAGGUUAAGCGGGAGACGCGGAGCCGAAGCGAAAGCGAGUCUUAAGAGGGCGCAAGUAGCAUGGAUUAGACCCGAAACCACAGUGAUCUAUGCAUGUCCAGGUUGAAGCUCAGGUAAAAAUGAGUGGAGGACCGAACCCGUGCGUGUUGAAAAACGUUGGGAUGAGGUGUGCAUAGGGGUGAAAUGCCAAUCGAACGUGGAGAUAGCUGGUUCUCCCCGAAAUAGCUUUAGGGCUAGCCUCAGGCGAAUAACCAUAGAGACGGUAGAGCACUGAUCGGGCAAGGGGGCGUAAAGCCUACCGACCCCAGUCAAACUACGAAUGGCUCAUAUGGGCAGCCUGGGAGUCAGAAUGCGAGUGAUAAGACCCGUAUUCAAGAGGGAAACAGCCCAGACCGCCGGCUAAGGUCCCAAAUGCUGUGCUAAGUGGAGAAGGAUGUAGGACUUCGAAAACAACCAGGAUGUUGGCUCAGAAGCAGCCACCAUUAAAAGAGUGCGUAAUAGCUCACUGGUCGAGAGGCCCUGCGCCGAAAAUAUCCGGGGCUCAAGCACAGAACCGAAGCCGCGGCAGGGUGUACUAAGGUACACACUGGGUAGGGGAGCGUUCUUAUCUGGACGAAGGCAGACCGGAAGGACUGCUGGACGGGUAAGAAGUGAGAAUGCCGGUAUGAGUAGCGAAACGACAGGUGAGAAUCCUGUCCACCGAAAGCCUAAGGAAUCCCGGGCAACGCUCGUCGUCCCGGGGUUAGUCGGGACCUAAGCCGAGGCGAAAAGCAUAGGCGAUGGACAACUGGCGAAAAUUCCAGUACCGGGCGUCUUCGUUUGAGGAUGGAGUGACGCAGGAAGGAAGCUGAGCGCGCGAAUGGUUGGGCGCGUCGAAGGCGGUAGGCUUGUAUGGAGGCAAAUCCCCAUACUGCAAGGCCGAGAACCGAUAGAUAGGAAAGACUACGGUCAAUCUGAAUUCAGCCGCACUACACUGCCAAGAAAAGCUUCUAACGAGAAGUCGUCCGCCCGUACCAAAACCGACACAGGUAGGCGGGGAGAGAAUCCUAAGGUGCGCGGGAAAACCCUCGUUAAGGAACUCGGCAAAAUGCAUCCGUAACUUCGGGAAAAGGAUGGCCGUUGAUGGUGAAGGUGUUUACCACCGGAGCUGUUGACGGCGGCAGAAAAGAGGCCCAAGCGACUGUUUACCACAAACACAGGUGCCUGCGAAAGCGCAAGCUGAAGUAUAGGUGCUGACGCCUGCCCGGUGCAGGAAGGUUAAGGAGAGUUGUUAGUCCUUGAGAUGAAGCAGCGAACUGAAGCCCCUGUAAACGGCGGCCGUAACUAUAACGGUCCUAAGGUAGCGAAAUUCCUUGUCGGGU
This 1985-nucleotide ribosomal RNA is filed under the name metagenome. Its description in RNAcentral is "bacterial LSU rRNA". It matches the Rfam family "Bacterial large subunit ribosomal RNA", at positions 3 to 1977 of the family's 2925-position model. The record is from RNAcentral.